AUUGAACGCUGGCGGCAUGCCUUACACAUGCAAGUCGAACGGCAGCACGGGUGCUUGCACCUGGUGGCGAGUGGCGAACGGGUGAGUAAUACAUCGGAACAUGUCCUGUAGUGGGGGAUAGCCCGGCGAAAGCCGGAUUAAUACCGCAUACGAUCUACGGAUGAAAGCGGGGGACCUUCGGGCCUCGCGCUAUAGGGUUGGCCGAUAGCUGAUUAGCUAGUUGGUGGGGUAAAGGCCUACCAAGGCGACGAUCAGUAGCUGGUCUGAGAGGACGACCAGCCACACUGGGACUGAGACACGGCCCAGACUCCUACGGGAGGCAGCAGUGGGGAAUUUUGGACAAUGGGCGAAAGCCUGAUCCAGCAAUGCCGCGUGUGUGAAGAAGGCCUUCGGGUUGUAAAGCACUUUUGUCCGGAAAGAAAUCCUUGGCUCUAAUACAGUCGGGGAUGACGGUACCGGAAGAAUAAGCACCGGCUAACUACGUG
Molecule: ribosomal RNA, 485 nt
Filed under: uncultured bacterium
Lineage: Bacteria
Description: partial 16S ribosomal RNA
Rfam family: Bacterial small subunit ribosomal RNA
Source: RNAcentral